CGGUGAGCCUGUGAAAACCGACCGAGUUCGUUGUGAUCUCGCGAAAACAACAAGUUGGGUUGUAAACUUGUAAAACAACCGGCUGUAAUCCUAGGGAUUAUAGUGAACUCCCAAGUGCGGCUUGGGGAGUGGACGUAGGAGCAAGAGUUGGCUCCGAACCACUAUAAAAUCUCUUGAGUUUGUAUUGAUUAAUUGUCUCUUCCCCUCUCUCCAUUCACUACAUCUAGUAAUCUAUUUAACCUGCUUGCAAUAGAUU
Molecule: long non-coding RNA, 256 nt
Filed under: Phoenix dactylifera (date palm)
Lineage: Eukaryota; Viridiplantae; Streptophyta; Magnoliopsida; Arecales; Arecaceae
Description: long non-coding RNA (PDAC_LNC013264)
Source: RNAcentral